GAACUGGAUAAGCGCGGCGUCUAGUUUCGCAGGGAAAGUUUAGGCAGUUGUGUUCACCCCAGACUUCCGGUUCCGGUCCUCGGAAUAGGGCCGUGGCUACUAUGGACGAACCCGAGAUGCAGCUCAAGGGGAAGAAAGUUACUGACAAAUUCACUGAGAGCGUCUACGUCCUGGCCAACGAGCCGUCUGUGGCCCUGUACCGGCUGCAGGAGCACGUGCGCCGCUCUCUGCCUGAGUUGGCCCAGCAUAAGGCUGACAUGCAGCGGUGGGAGGAGCAGAGCCAGGGAGCCAUUUACACCGUGGAGUACGCCUGCAGUGCCGUGAAGAACCUUGUCGACAGCAGCGUCUACUUCCGCAGCGUGGAGGGUCUCCUCAAACAGGCCAUCAGCAUCCGGGACCACAUGAACGCCACGGCCCAGGGCCACAGGUAGCUGCUGGGACUACCCGCCCCUGCUGCCCUCAGCCUCCUUGCUGCAAGGACCUUCGCUGCUCAGCCAGGAACUGCGCCUUCUCGCUCCUUAAACAACUCCCUUUCUUGGUCUCGCAGUGGCUGGUGACUUCCUCUUGUCCUUUGCUGUCUGUAGCGGGAGUUGAGUCAGUCCGCCCCCAGCUCCUGCGCGCUGCUGUGUGCUUGCGCUGGGUGCUGGGGGCAUGGCAGUGACCGAGACAGGUUUGCUCGCAGCCUCACGGAGAGGCACACGGCAACCAGGUAGACACGGAACAGACAAGAACAUUUCAGAUACGUGUGAAGGAGGAGAAGGGGGCCCCCUCUGAGGAGGCGGCAGAGAUGGAAACAGAAGCUUGAACAAAACGCAGACAAAGCCCCGAGGAACCGCUCCCACCCUCCUCAGCCUGAUCCCGGAAGAGACUUGGAGGUGCUUCGGCCCCUCUGACCCAGCCUGACCAAAGCUGGACUCUUUGACACAACCUUAUGGGACUUGGCAGGGACCGAAGACCAAGCAAGUGUGGCCAGCGCAUCCCUCCUGCCUCUGGGCCAGCCAUGAACGUUCUGAGACGAGACUUUGCUGCCCUUGGGUUCUUAGCCGCCCCUCACUGGCCCUGGUCAUGGCCAUGGCCCCUCGGACCAGUAACUGCUGCCACGACCACACGCCUGCUGUGUGUCCAGCUCUGUGCCGGGCACUUCACAGUGCUCAUCCUUCAUCCUCAGACGGCCCUGUAAGGGAGAUGCCGCCCCGAAUACAGAUGGGAGAAGAGAGGGUCUGA
Capra hircus (goat) is the source of this 1224-nucleotide RNA transcript. It is a transcript of the gene named BLOC-1 related complex subunit 8, with no coding region annotated. Lineage: Eukaryota; Metazoa; Chordata; Mammalia; Artiodactyla; Bovidae. The record is from RefSeq and is a predicted model, not a curated record. The transcript has 6 exons.